AUUGAACGCUGGCGGCAGGCCUAACACAUGCAAGUCGAACGGUAACAGGAAGCAGCUUGCUGCUUUGCUGACGAGUGGCGGACGGGUGAGUAAUGUCUGGGAAACUUCCUGAUGGAGGGGGAUAACUACUGGAAACGGUAGCUAAUACCGCAUAACGUCGCAAGACCAAAGAGGGGGACCUUCGGGCCUCUUGCCCUCGGAUGUGCCCAGAUGGGAUUAGCUAGUAGGUGGGGUAACGGCUCACCUAGGCGACGAUCCCUAGCUGGUCUGAGAGGAUGACCAGCCACACUGGAACUGAGACACGGUCCAGACUCCUACGGGAGGCAGCAGUGGGGAAUAUUGCACAAUGGGCGCAAGCCUGAUGCAGCCAUGCCGCGUGUAUGAAGAAGGCCUUCGGGUUGUAAAGUACUUUCAGCGGGGAGGAAGGGAGUAAAGUUAAUACCUUGGCUCAUUGACGUUACCCGCAGAAGAAGCACCGGCUAACUCCGUG
RNAcentral lists this ribosomal RNA (490 nucleotides) under uncultured bacterium. RNAcentral's name for it is "partial 16S ribosomal RNA". It matches the Rfam family "Bacterial small subunit ribosomal RNA", at positions 30 to 507 of the family's 1533-position model. The record is from RNAcentral.